UUUUUUAAAGUUAAAAGUUUUCUUUUAGACCAUCGUAAUAUUAUUAUUUUGGAAUAAUAUACAUAAUUGGAGAUGAGAAAUAAGUAGAGUGUAUUGUAGGAUCAACUUUUAUUGUUGAUAAAAUCGUUGAAUUAAAAAAAACACCUUUCCUUGAUUUAAAAAAUUGAUGUGUAUUUUAUAGAACUUUUUUUAUUCAAUAAUAUUUAAGGUUCAAAAACUCAACCUAAAAGUAGUGGUUUAGGGACAACCUAAAUGCAGAUGACAUUUAUCUAUAAGAACAAUUAAAAGUAAUAAAAUUUCAGCGUCUAAAAACAUCAUAUAUAUAUAUAUAUAUAUAUAUAUAUAUAUAUAUAUAUAUAUAUAUAUAUAUAUAUAUAUAUGAGUUUUGCUAGAAGAUAACUUUUAUCAGUGGCGGAACUAGGAAAAAAGUAUAGGGUGGGCUAUAAAUAGUGAUGGAGCUUAAUUUUCUUACAGGUACAUUUUAUCAUUGGUUAGUUUCAAUGACUACAAAUUUGUUAUUUGUUGAAUAUAAUUCAAACCGGUAUUUUAAAAUCCGAACCGUUUAUCAACCUUGAUAAACUACAAGAUAAUUGAUCGAACAACUAGGUCAUUAAACCUAACGACUGAAUUAAAUGACUCAACUUCAAUAAACAGAUGUAUAGGUAUUAAAUCGAAUUGAAUCAAACGACCGAGUAAAAAAAAAAACUCAUGACAUAUAUAUAUAUAUAUAUAUAUAUAUAUAUAUAUAUAUAUAUUAAUGUAAAAAAGAUCAUUACAUAAGAAAAUAUACUUAUAAUCAAGUACAAUAAUGAAAUCAUAUUGUACUUGCCUCAAUUAUUUUUAUGAUUUCUAACAAAUUCUAUUUUAUUUUAUUUAUGAUUUCUAAAAAUUAUUUUUAUUUUUUAGAAAAUAGGAAUGAAUCAUAUUUAAACUAAGAUCAAUAUGAUAUCUGAAGUAAGAAAUGAUGUUAGUGAUUGGCCCUUGCCUCAAGUCACUAACGUUGAUGAAUGGGUUCCUUUUGAAGGGCAACUAUUUGAAGAUAAUGAAUAUGUAAAUUCUUUAACAUUUCAAGAGCUACAACAUGAACCCUUGCCUCAAGUCAACAACAUUGAUGAGGGGGUUCCUUUUGAAGGGCAAGUAUUUGAAAGUGAUAAUGUUGCUUAUGAAUUUUAUUGUUUAUUUGCAAAACAAAAUGGAUUUUCUAUUAGGCGUGAUCACAUUUAUAAAUCUAGUAAAAAUGUGUCUGAAGAGAAUCCAUCUGGUGUUUAUAAGAGGGAAUUUAUUUGUCAUGGUGGUGGUAUUGUUAAACCACGCAAAACUGUUGAAGUGGAAAAUCAAAGGAAACGAAAAUCUUCAAGAUGUGAUUAUGGUGCAAAGAUGGUAGUUAAUAAGAGAACAAUUGGCUUUGAGAAAAAAUGGGUGGUUAAAUAUUUCAACAAUUCUCACAACCACGAGUUAUUGGAUAACAAAGAGGUUCGAUUUCUUCCUGCUUAUCGUAACAUUCCAAUUGUUGAUCAAGAUCACAUACUAUUAUUAUCUAAAGUUGGUUGCUCUGUAAGUAUUAUAAUGAGAGUGCUUGAGUUAGAGAAAAGAACGGGCACAGGAAAUUUACCAUUCUUAGAAAAAGAUAUUAGAAAUUUUAUUCAGUCAUAUAGUGGUAUUGGUAAAGAAAGUGAUGCUGCAGAUGUUCUCAGAUUGUGCAAAAGUUUGAAAGAUCGAGAGGAGGCCUUCCAAGUUGAAUUCACAAUUGAUGAAAGUAACAAAUUGGAGCAUAUUGUUUGGGCAUUUGGUGAUUCAAUUCGCGCAUACGAAGCUUUUGGAGAUGUUGUAGUUUUUGAUACCACAUAUAGAAUAAACCGUUAUGGGAUGCCUCUUGGAAUAUGGGUUGGUGUUGAUAAUCAUGGAAAUUCAAUUUUUUUUUGGUUGCGUUCUAUUGCAAAAUGAGAAGAUUUCUUCCUUCGAAUGGGCUAUAAAGGUAAAUUUCUAUUUACUCAAAGUUGUUAUCACUGUUAAAUUUUUAAAUUUGAAACUUUAUUAAAUUAAUUUAGAUUUAUGUUACAAUUUUCAGAGUUUCCUAGCUUUUGUGAAAGGAAAAUAUCCAAAAAUAAUUCUUACCGAUCAAGAUCUUUCAAUUAAAGAAGCCAUUGCAACGGAAUUGCCAAACACAAAACAUGCAUUUUGUAUAUGGCAUAUUGUCGCAAAGCUGUCAAGUUGGUUUUCUUUUCCACUAGGUUCGAGAUAUGAUGACUUUAAACAUGAGUUUCAUAAGGUAUAUCAUUUAGAAUGUGCAGAUGAUUUUGAACGAGAAUGGAAAAUAAUGGUCUCACAGUUUGGUUUGGGCGUGGAUAAGCAUAUUGACUUGCUCUUUUCCCAUCGUAAAUUUUGGGCCUGAGCUUAUUUGAAGGACUUUUUUUUUGCUGGAAUGACAACAACAGGACGCUCAGAAUCGAUAAAUUCAUAUAUAAAAAGAUUCUUAGAUGCUAACAACAGGACGCUCAGAAUCGAUAAAUUGUUAUAUUUUUGUGUAGGUUGGUGUUGCUGUCAAAAUUAGAAAUCAAGCUGGAGAAGAGGCACGAAUGCGUCAAAAGUAUCAUAAUCCUCAUAUUACAACACAUUUUCCUAUUGAAGAACAUGCCUCGUCUAUACUCACACCUUAUGCCUUUAAGUUGCUUCAAUAUGAGAUCGAAUUAUCCGCAAAGUAUGAAGCAAUUGAAGCUGACAAUGGCUCUUAUGUUGUGCAACAUCAUACCAAAGUUGAUGGUGGUCGUAUAGUAAGUUUGAUAACAGAAGAAGAGUCAAUUCAUUGUUCUUGUAAAGAGUUUCAAUUUUCAGGAAUACUAUGUAGACAUGCAAUUCGAGUGCUAAUGUUUAAAAAUUGUUUUGUUCUUCCAUCAAAAUAUCUUCCUUUUCGAUGGAGACGAGAAAGAUCAUUGAUCCCAAAAUCUAGUCAUGUGAUUAACUGCAAUGAUGUAUCCUCUGCCAAAUUUCAGUCUCUAAUUCGAUGUUUGGAAGUCGAAUCAUUAAAGACAAGUGAACGAGAACAGGUUGCUACAAGAGAGUUAGAAAAUAUCAUCAUAAAGAUAAAAAGGCAUGCCUGAAACUCAAGAACAUGUGAUUGAUUUGGAAGCGGAUGUUUCCAACAAUGACGACUACGACGUUGAAAAUCCUGUUGUUUCAAAAACAAAAGGUCGGCCAAAAGGAUCAAGACCAAAAGGAGGGGUUGAAGCUGCCAAGAAGCCUCGUCGUUGUCAUGUUCCAGAUUGUGGUGGAACUAAUCAUGACUCACGAAACUGUCCAAACAAAAAGAGAAAAAUGGAAGUAUUGCCUUCUCAAUCUCCUAAUAAGUAAGUUUUAAUUGGUGUGUCUUGUUCUACUCAUGACUAAUAUAUUAAAUUAAUGUUGACUGAAUUUUUAUGGUGCUUUGAUAGGAUCAUGAAGGGUUGGAAGUAGUCAUCUUGAAAUAGUGAAUUUGACAGAUGAAGCAGCCAAAUAGUUUAGAUCAAACCGUGUAAUUAGUGAAUUUUGUGGCUGCAAUCUGUAAGAUCAAACUAGCAGUAUAUUUUGUAGGAUUAUUAUGAUCAAAUUGUAUAAUUACUAGUAUAUUUUGUACCAGUAUAUAGCCUGUGUUUUGUUCCAGUUCGCCCAAUCUUUCUCUUCUUGAGAGGUCCUGUUUGGCUUAAUAUAUUAUUGCACAUUAUUAUGAUUAUGUGAAAUGUUGAUGUUAAUUAUUGAACAUCAAAUUGGUUAUUAAAAGUCAAAGAGUCUAAAAAAAAAAAAAGUAAAAGAUCAAACUAGCAAUAUAUUUCUGUGAAAUAUAUUAUUGCAUAUUAUUGCACCUCUUAAAAAAGAAGUAAAAGAUCCAAUGAAAAAAUGUGUUCUCUUUUUGACAAACACAUUGGUUGUAGGAAGAGAGAGAAAAUGAUGAUUUCUAGGUGAAUGGGAAAUGACUUUAAAGGACAUGUAUUAUAUCAUUAUUGAAGAACAAUCUAAAUUUCCUUUGAAUUAAUUUGAUUUACAUGAUUGUGAAUUAAUUUGUAUUAGGAGAAGUGAAUCAAUCUAAAUUUAAUCAUUUGUAUUAUAUCAUUACGGGGGAGUAACUAGUGGUUUAAUGACAAUCUAAAUUUCCUUUGAACAACCCCACAAACAACUUGAACCUUUUUUUUUUUUUUUUUUUGUCAAUUAACAACUUGAAAAUUUUAUUUCUUAAAAUACUCACAUUGAAAUAAUUAUUUUAUCCACGUUGGGUUUUGAUAAGGUAUAUAAUACAAUGAUAAGGUAAUUAUUUUAUUCAUAUUAAAUAAAAUAUUACCUCAAGAAAGAAAAAAAAGUUCAUGAUUGGUAAAUAUGUAUGUUUGGAUUGAUGAAAAUGCAAGUAGUAAAAUCUAAAGAUUCUCUACCCUAUGGUAUAAGUUACUCUAUAAGGCAAACUAUACUUCUCUCAAAAAAAUAAAAAAGGCAAACUAUACUAGCGAUAAAUUUACGUUAAAAUGACCCUCUUUUAAUUCAUCAUAUAUAGGAAAAUGAAUUGAAUUUUUUUUUCGCGGACAACGGUGGUAUUUUUGUUAGUUUGUUUUAAUUCAAGUUUAGUUUAGUGAUAAUCACAAUCAGUGGUUAAUCACAUUUUGUUUUAGUUUGUUAUGAAGUUUGUUACAAGUUUGUUAGAGGUUAGUAUAUAAGAUCUAGAGUUUGUUACAUUGCUUGUGCUUCAAGCAACUUAGCUAGAUAUUGUAUAUAAGCUACCUCCUUUGUACAUUUUCGUAUGUAGAAUCAAUAAAGAUCAAUUACAAUUUCAUCAUAAUUUUUCUUCUCUCUCAAUUCUCUCUCUAAUUCACAAAACCUUAGAAUAAGAAACUACUUCUGAAACUGCUUCUGAACUAGCUUCUGAACAAGCUUCCGCUUCUGGUUUUUCUGCGCUAUCAAAUUGGCAUCAAGAGCCUUUGGUUUCAUUCUAAGGGGUAAUCAAGAUCUUCAAUCACGCAAUUUGUAGGAAGAAACGCUGAAGGAAACACCAUGAAUGGUAGCAGCAGUUUCAACACACAUCUUCCAAUUCUUGAAGCACGCAAUUGGGAAAGAUGGAGUGCAGUGAUGAAGAAUCUGUUUGGAGCACAAGAUUUGCUUGAAAUUGUGCAGAAUAGUGUAGGUGAAUUAGCUGCGAAUGCCACUGAAGUGCAAAGGAACGCACACAAGGAAUUGAAGAAGAAAGAUUGCAAGGCUCUGUUCUUGAUUCAACAAAGUCUUGAUGAAGGAAACUUUGAAAGAAUCUCAAAAUCACUAAGUUCAAAGGAAGCAUGGGACAUUCUUUCAAAGUACCAUGAAGGUGAUGAUAAAGUGAAGUUGAUUAAGCUUCAAUCACUGAGAAGGAAAUUUGAGCUGAUGCAAAUGGAAGAUGAUCAGAAGAUUUCUGAGUACAUCUCUAAACUCAUCAAUCUUGUGAAUCAGAUGAAGGCUUGUAGUGAAGCAAUCACUGAUCAACAGAUAGUUGAAAAGAUUAUGAGGACCCUAUCUUCAAGGUUUGAUUUCAUUGUGGUGGCAAUUCAGGAAUCAAAAGAUGUUAAGACAUUGAAGAUUGAGGAGCCGCAGAGUUCAUUAGAAGCUCAUGAAUUGAUGGUUUCAGAAAGAAGCAAUGAAAGAUCAAUUCGACAAGCCCUGCAAGUUCAAACUAUCAAGAAGGAUGAUUAUGAUAGGAAGAACUUCAAGAAAGGGAAGAAAAACUCUAAGGGAAGAAACUGGUCUAAAGGCAAGAACAAUGGAUCUGAUAAAGGUGAAUCUUCAAAGGAAGGAAAUUCUAAUCAAAAGAAGAAAGUUGAUAAGAAGAAGAUUCAGUGUUUCAAAUGUGAGAAAUUUGGACACUAUGCCUCUGAAUGUUGGUCUGGUAAAGGAAAGCAAUCAAAUAAUGAUGAAGAGGAAGCCAAAAUUGCACAAGAUGAUUCAGAUUCUGAGUCAUUAUUCAUGAUGGUUACAACAAUUAGUAAUGAGAGCUGCAAUUCAGAAAGUUGGUUCUUAGAUACUGGUUAAUCUAAUCAUAUGACUGGAACCAAGACAUGGUUAAGAGAAGUGGAUUUUGGAAGAAACACAAAGGUGAAACUUGCAGAUCAUAGAGUAUUAGUUGCAGAAGGAAUGGGGAAUAUUGCUAUUGAAGGAAAGAAUGGGAAAGUGGCAAUAAUUGAAUAAGUUCUCUAUGUUCCUGGAAUGCAGUGCAAUUUGCUGAGUGUAGGUCAAUUCAUUCAGAAAGGAUACUCAGUUACUAUGAAGGACAACACCUUUAAGUUGUUUGAUAAUCAUCAAAGGUUAGUUUUGAAAACUCCUCUUGCAAAGAAUAUAACCUUUCAGACCAAUAUGAAAGCUGUAGAAUUGAACUGUUUAUCUGCUAUGGUAAAAGAUGAAGAUAGCUGGUUAUGGCACUAUAGAUUUGGUCAUCUCAAUUUUAGAGGUCUUAAUCAAUUGGUUGAUAAAGAAAUGAUUCUGGGAGUGCCUAAAAUUGAGAUACCUAACACAGUUUGUGAUACUUGCUUGUUGGGAAAGCAACCUAGAAGUGCAUUCAGUUCAAGUUCAGCAAGUAGAUCAAAGGAGCUGCUUAAUGUUGUAUAUUCAGAUGUGUGUGGUCCUUUAGAGGUUCCUUCAUUAGGAGGAAACAAAUAUUUCAUCAGUUUUGUUGAUGAGUUUAGCAGAAAACUCUGGUUAUAUUUGAUUAAGGCCAAAAGUGAAGCAUUUGAUAUGUUCUAGAAGUUUAAAAUCUUAGUUGAAAAACAAAGUGGUAAAUCCAUUAAGAUUUUAAGAACUGAUGGUGGUGGUGAGUAUACCUCAAAGGUGUUUGAGAAGUUUUGUGAAGACAAUGGCAUUGUGCAUGAAGUCACUGCUCCUUAUACUCCACAACACAAUGGUUUGGCUGAAAGAAGGAAUAGUAGCCUGCUUGACAUGACCAGAAGUAUGCUAAAGAUGAAGAAGAUGCCUAAUACAUUUUGGGGAGAAGCAGUAAGAACUGCAGCAUACAUCUUAAACAGAUGCCCCACUAAGAAACUUAAUCAAAUUCCUGAAGAAAUUUGGUUAGGAUGCAAGCAGUCAGCAAAACACUUGAGAAUUUUUGGUUCAUUGUGCUAUAUGCAUAUCCCUGAUGCAAAGAGAAGGAAGUUGGGGGACAAGAGUGAGCCUAUGAUACUGGUUGGCUAUCAUGAAACAGGUGCAUACAGAUUGUAUCAUCCUCUAAAUCACUCUAUAGUGAUUAGGCUACCUGACCCAAAAAAAAAUUCUACAAGCCACUUUUCUCACGUUGUUUUCGCUAUUUUCUUAUAUCUUGACCCUUACUUAUUGAUGUUGUUGAAACCAAGUUGGUCCACUAAUAACAAUAUCAUUUUAUGUUUUGAUGAUUAAAAAAAAUAUCUAAAUGGUUUUUCAAUUCGCAUUUAACUUAAUUUCUUAUUACUUUGAAAUCUUUCAACAAACUAUAUUCAUUUUAAAUUUUGCAAAUUUAUUUAUGUUAGUUCUAACAUUUAUCCCGCCAUUGCACGGGUCAUGAGCUAGUAAGUGUUAUUGGUACAUGGAGCCUUAAUCUUCUUGCACAAAUACCCACUUAAAAGUUUCAAUUGAAUGGGGUGGGGUAGCUCAACUGGUUUGAGUUAAGGGAAUUUUUUCUAGAGGUACUGAGUUUGACACGGACAAAGGAGAAAAGAGAAAAACUAAUUUCUAACAUACAUUAAAAAAAAAAAAAUAUCUUCUUAAAGCACCAACCCAAUUCAUAUUUUUUAUUUAUGUACUAAAAUGAUAGAUCAGUAUAUUUUUUAUUCAGUACAAAUUUGAAUAUCUGUUUAAACUGUACAUUUUUUAUUGGGUUAAAUAUGUUUUUGGUCCCUAUAAAAUUGGAAACUUCUAAGUUUAGUCCUUACUUAAUUUUAAUAACAUUUUUAGUCCCUACAAAAAUAAAAUUACAUGUAAUUUUAGUCCUUCUAAAAACUAAAUUUGUUUAAUUAUUCUUGAAUUCUUAAAUUUUUGAACGAUUUUUUGGAGACAUGUUUAGAACAUUAUAAAAUGUUCAUUUACUAAAAAAUAUAAUUUUUUAACAGGAGAAGAAUUAAAUAUGAAUUUUUUAAACGACAAAAAUUCAAGAAAAGAGUAGUAAAAAUCUGAACGUAGAAAUCAAAUUUUGAGUUAAUAUUUUGUAGAGGGACUUUCCGUAAUGUUCUUAAUAGGUGUACAAAAGAUUGUUUAAAAAUUCAAGAAUUUAAGCAUAAUUAAACAAAUUUGGAUUAAGAAUGGACUAAAACUAAAUGCAAAAUGAUUUUUUAGGGAUUAAAAAAGCUAUUAAAAUUAAGUAAGGAUUAAAUUUAAAAGGCUCCAAUUUUAUAAGGAUAUAAAACAUAUUUAACCCUUUUUAUUUGAUGUCAAAAGGAAAAGUUCAAUCAAUAAAUUUGUUUUUGUUGUAAAAUUUUGGAUAGUCGGGCAUGAGUGAUAUGCAAAACUAAAACAAAAAAAAAUACAACAAAUGUUACAUGAAGGAUUUUGAUUGAUGAAACAAAACUACCUUGACAAAAAAAAAAGAAUUAAAAGAAAGAAAUUGAAUAAGUUAUUAAGAUUAAUAAAAUUUUCUUGAAACAUCACCGAAGGGUUGUCUUUGAAUAAAGAUUUUAGGAAAUUGUAUAUUUUUGUAUAUAGAAGUUAUAGUUUUUAAAUGAUUGUAUAUUUACUAGAUAAAUGCUUCCUUAUCUCCAAUCCCCAUUACAACUCUGACUAAGUCUUAGGCUUUGUUUGGAUUGAUGGCAUGUGGUGGAAUGGAAUGGGAUGGAGUGGUAUAUAAUAGAGUUCCAUUGUUUGGAUAUUUAAAAAAUGAGUGGAAUGGAGUGGUAUAUGAUGGAAUCCAUUCCAUCCCAUUCCAUCAUCUUCCUUUAUUUUCAUUCCUCCCAAUUUGGGGUGUAUAGAAUGGAAUGAGGUCUAUUAAUUUGACAAUUACCUUUUUAACCUAGUUUUUUUUUUUAUUUCCAAUUGGUAGCCACGAAUUUCCGAUUGAACCCAGUUUUUUAUUUAAUUACACACGUUACCUCUAUACCCAACAACAUCAAACUCUACAACACUGUUCUACAUAGCACUAGACAGUCCAAUACAUCAAAAUCCUUUCUACAAAGCCAAACUACUCAUGAAAAUCAAUGAAAGUUCAUUAUAAUUAAAUAAAAAAAAUGUAAAAAAUGCAACGAAUGGAGAUGGUGGGGGUAACGUGAUGGACAAAUUUUUCAAACAAAAUUAAAACUUUUUUGCUACUAUUAUUUUUGUUACUAUUUUAUUAUAACUAUACAAUUCUAUAUAUGAUAGUAUUUUUAAAUAAGGGUAAAAAUGAAAUAAACAAGUUUGUUCCGUUCCGUCGUAAAAUGAGUUCUAUAAAAUACCCAAACAAUGGAAUGGAAACUCUAUCCCGCUCCGUUCCAUUCCAUCCCGCUCCAUUCCAUUCGUUUUAAAAUAUCCAAACAUAGCCUAGUGUUCCAUGCCUGAUAGUAGCUGGUUAUAUGUAAAUUCUAUUUUCUUAUAUUGAUAUUUCAAUUCCGUUCUUAAUUUUUUUUUUUUUUUUUUUUUUUUUUUUUUUUUUUUAUGCGAAAUACAAAAAUGAUAUUUGACUUAGAAAGUUGUAGACAUAGGCUUUCUCCGUAAGAGAGAGAUAUGGGUAGGAGCAUUUGUAGAUGUUAGUUACCAGGUAUUAGUCUCUGUUUGCAAUCAUACACAUUGUAUGAUCUUAAUGUCGUUACUAAAAAUAAUGAAUCUCAUAUCGUUUGUCAGAUAUGGAAACAUGCGAUCAAUGAAGUAAAUUAAACGAUUAAUUAAUGAAUCCCAACAAUAUUAUCUCUUUGUUCUUGUUUCAUUUUUUUUUAAGAAGUUAAACUAACCCCUUUCAAUUGACACCAGAGAUAAUUGAACCUGAGACCUUAAGAAGGAGCACUCUCAGGUUACAAGUCAAUACGACUAGGCCAACCUAAGUGGGUUUUUCUUAUUUCAUUAUUUAAUUGCAAAGACAAAUAUAUGUACAAAUAAUCCAUCGUUAUGUACUAAAAACAAUAUUCGUAUUUCAAAAAUAUUGCACGAAUUCCUAUGGAUACGGUAACCAUAAAUAUUUAUUUUGGGAAAUGAUAGGUGCAGUGACAAAAUUUAUCAAAAAAAUUUUAAGACAGUGUAUUUGCUAACACCUUUUCUUAAUUACACAACAUUACCUCCCUUAAUUUUCGUCAAAUAACAAAUUUAAUUGAUUGAGACAUUUUCUUAAUAUAUUUUUGAUAAAAACUCUAGAUAAAUAGAAAUGCUCAUUUAUUUUUUUAUACAGCUAUAAAAGCAGCUGAUCACUAAGUAACUAUUUUUUUUAUCUCAAUCUGUUUGCAAUAUUUCAAAAAUUAUUAGAUAAUUUUAUAAAUUAUUACCCCAAAAAUAAAAUUACCAUGUGUGUCACAUGGGAUAAAGAUCUAGUUUACCCUAAAUUUAAAGUAGUUGGAUUAAACCUUCAAAAAAUUGUAUUAAAGUGUUUGCAACUACUUUUAUAUCGACUAAAAUCCUACAAAUAUAAAUUAAAGUGUUUGCAAAUUGAAUUGUUUUUCAUAUCUUUUAAAGCUCAACAAGACAUCUAAUGUAUUUAUUUUGACAUGCAUAAAUUAAAAAGGCUUUGAAGUAAGGUAAAAUUUAUUGAUAUACCUAACUAUUCUAUUAAAGUUAUUUUUAAAAGGUGUGAUACCUCCAAAAUUAUGAGAGAAGAGGACAAUGAAAAAAAAAAAUCUUUACUACCUUAAAACUAUCUUAGAGUAACACACCAUAACUACAAGGUUCAUGAGAUUAGAGAAAUUAAAUUAAAUUAUAUCAUAGAGUGCCAACAUAAUAACCAAACGACAACUCAUGAAAUAUUCUAUCAUAUUUUAAGUUGUUUUCUUUGACAUUAUAACCCAUUCUCCUUUGUAGUAUGUUUUUGCACUCUCCAUGGUUUGAAACUCAUAGAAUCAUGCAUGUGCUUCUACCAAUUCACAUCUUUUAUCAAUGCACUUAAAAACAUAUAACAAGUCCCUAUACUUUGGACAAUAAUCAUCGGUUUCACAUUCUUCAUAAACUAUAAUGAAAAAACGAUAAUAAAAUAAUGUUACUAAAUAUGUUAAAAGAUUGUGCACAAACUAUAAAGUAAAGAAGGAAAUUUUGAAAAGAAUGAAAAAAAUGACUUACUGUCACUCAGUUGUGUUCUGAUGAGAAAUACUAUGGAAAUGAAUAGAAUCAUAGCAUAAACAAACUUUAGAAGUUGAAUCAUAUUUUUUCUUGUUUGCAUGUAAAAAAUUCGAAUAUGAUUUGUUCUAUUUAUAAUGUUCAUGCUCUCUUAAAAAUGAUUUUUAUAGUUUUGGCACUUAUGAAGUUGUAAAAACCCUUCAUAAAAUUAUAAUCAUCAUUAAUUAUCUCUUAAAUAUAUCAAAGUGUUGUAAACAUAAAGAGGUCAAAUGAAAAACUUACUAAUAAUAAAGAUUUAUUCCUUUUGACUAUAAUAUUCAUAUGUAAUUGAGCUUAAGUGGUUAAUGAACUUCACCAAAGAACGAAUCGUUCCGGAGAACCCGAGUUUGUUUCUGAUUUUAUCCAAAUGCAUUUUGGUAUUAUGCCUACCCAACUUGAAAUAGAUUGACGGAAACCAUUGAUGAUGAGGCAUUCUCUAGAUGGAUUUCAUAGUUCUCACCUUGAGAACAAAUUGUAUAGUCAGAGGUCUUUUUGACUUUGGAAUAAGUUCAAAUAGAACUCCUUCACAACUCCCUACAUUUUAAGCUAUAACUAUAAUAAGUCAUUACGAAUCAUGUGUCUUCAUUGUGUUAUGAUAAUGUGAGGAUGGGAGAAUAUUUGUAGAGUUUUAAUUAUGAUAAAUAAUACUGGAAUGAGGAUAUUAUUUCAGUUUUUCAUCAACUUUUUGUGAUGGAAUAUAGGAUAUGCAUUAAUUGCACUAUGACUGCUACACUCAAGCUAUUCGUAUUUCUACCUAUUUAACAUUUGGCUUGAAGUUGAUUAUUUAAAUGAAAAAUGAGUGAAUUUAAUAUCGAAUAUACUGUCACAAUAUAUUCUAUUUUUACUUUCAUUGAUUAGAACUCAACUAUUAUCAAAUGAAAUCAGUGCAGAUAAUUAGACAUUCAAGAUUUUGAGCUGGGAGAUUAGAAUGCAUUGAAGGAAUUGUUUGCCAAACACAUUGGGAAACUUUGAUGAAGGAGCUUGCUUUCACAUAACUCAGGAGAAAAAGACCUGUUCAAACACAGAUUAUCCUUGCAAGUACAAAAAAAAAAAAUGAAAACAAUUGUGUAGAACUAAUGUUAAUGAACCAUUUUUUUUGGACAAACAGAAAAUGUUGAUUCUUAUGUUAAUGAUAGGAUUAGAACCAUGUAAAGAGGAUGCAAGUAUUGGUGGCUCUUCAUUGCUGCUGGUUCCUCUAGUCCCUCAUUUGGCUUUGGGGACCUAUAGAAUAGAGACAAAGAUGAUGCAAGAAAUUGUAUGUAUAUAAAUUUUGAACUUAUCAAAAGGAGAAGGAACAACAACUCAUGAAGGAAAAACAAUCAAAAUUUCUCUUACCAAGCAGAAUAUGAUGUAUUUAGCACCUGAAGAUAGUGUGAAGGAUUCAGCAAUGUGGCAAAUGAAACUGUCGUUCAGCUUUUUUGUCUCUCUUUUUUACUUUAUUUUCUCUUUUUUUACUUUCUCCAACCUUUCUCUCAUGCUGACAGUGGCUUUUGUGGGAUCUUUUACUUUAUUUUCUCUGUUUUUUUUUUUUAAAAACUUUUUUUUAACAUUUCUACCAUUUUCAACUUUACAUGUAAAUAUUACUCCAGCUGCAACUAUUGUUGUUGUCUUUUAGUGCAAUAUAAGAAAUAAGAAAUAUGCCAGUGUCGGCAUGAAAAAAGGAAAAGAUUCCACAAAGUGCAGAGCAUUCAAUUUGCCCCUCUUUCAUUUUCUGAAUAAUCAAUAACCAAUGAAACUUUUUUAUACAUCUUCCUAUAAAAUUUAUUUCAAAGAUAACACAAAAAAUUAUGUUGUAAACUACUAUGUUUUAGUUUUGUUAAUAAGUAUGAUUUUUUUUUUGCUUAUAAUAUGGGACGGAGGGAGUACAUACCUACACCGCUUUGUUAUUCUCACUAUAUGCUUCUCAAUUCAUUCGUCGCCAUCUUCGAUCCAUUAUUGAAAGGAGAAUUAAUACAACUAAUAUUUUUAAUCUAUUAUUGAUGAUCCCAAAUCAUUCGAAUCACAUUGAGUAUUAUUUUAAUUUUUUAACAUGUGUAGUUUAAUUUUUUUAUGAUUAAUUUUGUGCUUAAUGUUUAUUAGUACAAUAUAAUUUUUUUGACCCAUCCGAGAUUUUCUUUCUGAUUCCGCCACUAUUUAUACCCAAGUAAGUGUAUGGUAGAAUCAAUUUAUGUUGUUGAUAAAAUCAUUGGAAAAAAAAUGUGACUGUGUAUUUAAUUUUGUAAUUGCAUGAUUUAUUUUACAUUAUCAUUCAAAUCAAUUAUAUAAUUCAUAUCGAUUUAAAAAAUAAUUUGGUAUUGAAUGUAAACUGCUUUUAAAAAUUAUUCGUAUAUCUAAUAAUUAAUUGAAAUAUGUUCUUAGGGCAGCUUUGUAUGUACACCUUUUUGUACCACUCUGUAAAAUUUCAGUUAAUCAAAUAUAUGGUCUCCGUGACUACGUUUAUUUAGUUGCGUGAUCACUAUUUAUUUGGUUAACUAAGUGGAAAAAUAGUGGUCACGCGCAUUUUAGUUGUGCGACCACAUUUUUUCAGCUUUUAAAUGCUGGAAAAAUAAUGGUCAUUGGUCACGCUGAAAUUUUUCAAAGUGAUAUAAAGAAGUGUACACAUUAAGGGUGUCUACCUACCUAUCUUUAUUCUUCCUCCUGUUUUAUUUUUCGACGUGCCUCUCCUUUGUCCAUUUUAUCGUGUUCCAUCGUGGUAUGCCUUUUUCUUGCGUGAAGAGCACAUCUUAAUAUCUAUAUACUUGAAGGAUCCGAUUGAUUUUUCAUGGCUCCUUUACCACCAGCUCAUGUUGUUGAUAUCAUUGUCAGCAGAGAAGAGGUAGUGCUAUUUCAUGUAGUUAGUUCUUCAAUUCAGCGACAACUUACUGUUGAUGUUAAUGACAGGUGGCGGUGGAAUUUGCACUCUUCAAAUAAUUACAUUGUUUGUAUUGCUUAUAAUUUCAUUCAACAAUCACCAAAUCAACAUAUCCUUGCAGAUGACAACCAUGUAUUUUGGCAUAAAGUUGUUUCUCUGAAAGUCAAUCUUUUUGUGUGCGUCUUCUUCUCAACCGCCUUCCAACAAAUGACAAUUUAUUUAUGAGAGGAGUGAUUCCGGCUACUUAUGGGAGGGUGUGGUAAUUUAGAGGAUAAACAAGAGAAUUGUUGUUUACACAUUUCAUAAGGCUGUGCCACACGAGUCAUUUACGUAAAUGCCCUUCAGCAGUUAACUGCCGAAGUUUUUAGUAAACCGGCGGCAGUUAACUACCGAGGAUUUCCUCGGCAGUUAACUACCGAUGCGAACUGAACAUAACAGAAGCAGAAACUCAAUUUUCUGAGUAUUGAUUCAUUGUUCAAAAAUUCUCCAAACCAUCCAACUUCUCCAAUUUCGAUUUGUCAGCAAAAUCAAAUGCAUCAUCUCCAUUUAAUCACAAGUAAGUAUCUUGACUCAUUUUUAAUCAUAAUGUUAAUUUGGGUAGGUUUUUUUUAUAAAAAAAAUGGUAGUUUUUAUGUGGUUAGGGUUGAUGUAGGAAUUGAAUUUUUUAUGAGUGCAUGUAGUUUAUAAUUGAAUGUAGUUGCUUUAAUUGAUGAUUGAAUGAUGUUAGGGUAUAAUGUGGUUUUCAAUGGUGGCAAAAGAACACAUUUUUAGUAUGUUUGAUAUUUUGCACACAAAGUGUUUGAUAAAAUGUGUCAAUGACAAUUUUAUUGAUUAUUUAGUUAGUUUAGGUAUUGGAUAUGAUUUUGAUUGUAAUUCGAAAAAGUGUAUAUUGAAUUAGGUUGAAUGUGUAUAUUGAAUUAUGUUUAGUUUAGGUUGAAUGUGUAUGACAAUGCAUUUGAUUAUUUACGUUUGAAUGUUAAUGAUAAUGUGUAUGAUAAUGUUUAGGUUCAAUCAAUGUCUUUAUUUUGGUAAAGUGGUUUAAUGUGAAAGUGGUUAUGUUUAGGUUGAAUGUGAAAGUUUAGGUUUUGUUUAGGUUUAGUGUUUUUGAUAAAGUGGUUGAAUGAUAUUAAUUUUAUUAUUUUUUUUGUAGAUAUGGCCGAUCAGGACCCCAUUGAUCCAUCGAAGAUGAUUGGUGGUAGGCGUGCGAUGACUCAGAGCCACCGCAGGAAGAGGCAGAGCAGCCACUUCCCAAAGAGGGGUAGAGGUCGGAGGGGAGAUGGCUCAGGAAGCUCUCAGGCUACACAGCCUGAGGAGUCACAGGUUGUUGACCCGUCACAGCCUGUUGACCAGACUGGGGUGGAGUACCUGAACUAUCAGGAUCAGGUACAGCAUGAUGUGACGGAUGGUGGAUAUGACCAGGAUCAUAUACCACAGCAGCAGGAUGCAGGAGACGAGGAUGACAUUGCAGCAGCUGCUGCACCGGAGGUGUUACCUAUGGAGCCUCCAUUUCCUGGUGGACCGGCUGACUUGUCAUUGCUCCACUCUUAUGCCGAUCAUGUGGCGUUGCCACUCUGGUAUAAUUCAAAUAAUGUAACUGUAUUUUUUUUAAAUAUUUUUUCUUUAUGUUAAAAUAUUUUCUUUAAUUUAAAUGUGUAUUUGUUUAAUUAUUAUAUCCAGUUUUAUAUGUGUUUUUUUUAAUUAUAUUUUGUAUGUUUAAUUGUUUUCUUUAAAUGUGUGUUUGUUUAAUUAUUAUAUCCACUUUUAUAUGUGUAUUUUUUAAUUCUAUUUUGUAUGUUUAAUUCUUUUCUUUAAAUGUGUGUUUGUUUAAUUAUUAUAUACAUUGUUUUAUGUUUAUUUUUUUAAUUCUAUUUUUUAUGUUUAAUUGUUCUCUUUAUAUGUGUUUUUGUUUAAACCAUAUUUAUUUUUCUAUUAUUUCAGGUUCGUAAGCUCCACGUGCUUAAACCGAUUAAUCAUGGGGCCAAGAUUCUCACUCUCGGACGCCCUAACGGGAAUGAGAAUUGGUUUUGGGAUCCGCUUAAGCAGAGCGGGCUACAUGAUUUGGUUUACUUGGGGUACUCCACCGUGCCUCAUCCGGAGACCAGCACCUUUCACAUGCCCAUGGGGGAGAUGACUGUGACAUUGGAUGAUGUCGCAUGUCUCACGCAUCUUCCUAUUGAGGGGCGGAUGUUGGAUCAUGGGAAGAAGAUGCCCAAGCAUGAGGGAGCGGCACUGCUGAUGAGGUAUCUGGGUGUGUCCCAGCAUGAGGCUGAAAAGAUCUGCAACCAGGAGUACGGUGGGUACAUUAGCUACCCGAGGCUGAGGGACUUCUAUACCACGUACCUUGGUAAGGCCAACUUAUUGGCGGGUACGGAGGAUCCUGAGGAGCUUGAGGAGCUGGCGAGGGUUAGGACAUACUGCGUCCGGUGUUACCUUCUGUACUUGGUCGGAUGCUUGUUGUUUGGCGAUAGAAGCAACAAGCGCAUCGAGCUGAUAUAUUUGACGACCAUGGAGGACGGCUACGCAGGGAUGCAUAAUUAUUCCUGGGGAGGUAUGACCCUCGCCUACCUAUACGGCGAGUUGGCUGAUGCAUGUAGGCCUGGACACAGAGCUCUUGGGGGGAGCGUGACACUGCUCACUGUAAGAAAACUUAAAUUUUAUAUUUAUGUUAACUUUAUUUUUUUGUUAACUUUUAUUUUUUUGUUAUAUUUUUCCGUGCGUAAUGAUUUAUAAAUGUUAUUUGUUUGGUUUGUGCAAGCAUGGUUUUUGGUGCAUUUUCCAGGGUUUUACAGUGUUGAUCCCAACACUGACUACGUGGAAAACUAUCCAGUUGCAGCGAGGUGGAAGCUCCAGAAGGGUCAUGGGGGGAGAUCACGUAUCGGUCACUGCUUGAUCGUAUACAAUUAGAUGAUGUAUGUUGGAGGCCGUACGAGGAGCACAGAGAGAUCCAGGACUUCGAGGAGGUUUUCUGGUAUUAUGGGUGGAUUAUGUGUGGUGUCCGUAGGGUGUACCGUCACUUGCCCGAGAGGGUUUUGAGGCAGUACGGAUACGUGCAGACCAUCCCCAGACAUCCGACUGCUGUUAGGGACCUCCCACCGUCUUCCAUUAUGCAGGUGUUCGUUGACUUCCGCACUCACACGAUUAAGGCGGACGAUCGGGGUGAGCAGGCAGGAGAGGAUACAUGGCGGGUGGCGGAUGGCUAUGUCAUAUGGUACACUAGGGUGUCUCACCCUCAGAUCUUGCCACCUAUUCCAGGAGAUCUUCCGAGGCCUGCAAAUAAAGAGCAGAUCAUUGCAGACCAGUGGGAGCGGUAUGAGGCGAGAAGCUCGCCUGACACCUAUGACAUGGUUAGUGGCGCUGUUGCCUAUGCUGAUGCGCAGUUAGGCCAGGAGGAGGUCAUGAGCAUGACCCCUCAGCAGUGGUUUGAGGCCAUGACCCAUAUGAGGGAGCAGAUCGCGCCGAUUUUGACCAGGAGGAGAGCCCAGAGGCCGAGGAGGAGGCACUAUCUGCAGGAUCAGGACCAGUAGUACUAUUUUCCUUUUUUAGGACUUAGUUUUUAGUUUUAGUCUUUUGAUGACAUUGAGUUAUGUAUAUUUGUAUAUUUGUAUAUUUAUAUUUUUAUGACAUUAUUUUUAAUUUCAUGGGCUCGUUUUACUUUGUUUAAUGUACAAAAAUGUUGGUUUAAUUAAAUUGUGCAUUUGCACCAAUAUUUUUUUGUUAUUUGAACCGUUAUGAUGAAUUUUAACCGUUUGUGUAAAAAUCCGGCUUUCAAAAUAAUUUAGAAUGAUAUUGAAAUGCUUUUUAGAAUUAUGAAGAUUUCCUCGGCAUGAAAAUUAAAGUUUGUUCUUGUAACUUCAUGUAUUGAUAAUAAGCAAUUUUCAAUGAGACGUGAUCGUUACCUUUUUUCUAGAGUGUAGUAGUAGUAUUUUAUUACUAAUGACAAAGUUUUAGUUGUCUAGUCAAACCUGAACACUACUAUAUAAUAUAAGUGUGCCGUUGAUUUGCCUCCAAUUCGUGAAAGAAGAUUUGGCGAAGAUUGGAGAGAAAUUGAGAAUUUUGUAAAGUUUUGGAUGUUCAGUUUUCCUCGGCAGUUAACUAUCGAGGUUUUCUUCGGCAGUUAACUGCCGAAAUUUUGAAAAAUCCGGCUGCAGUUAACUGCCGAGGGAAACCUCGGGAGUUAACUGCCGAGGAUCUUAUGCGCUACAAAAUCUGGCAGAAUCUCCUCUCAUCCAUUAUUGAUCUUAUCUUCCAAAUAAUUUCUUCAAAUUUCUCUCAAAAUCUCUCUAAAAAACACAACCAAAUCCAACCAACUUUAUUCAACAAAAUCACAAGUAAGUAAUUAUAAUGCUAUUAACUUACAUUUUAGUUGUUAUAAAUGUUAUUAUUUUUUAGUUUUUGAGUACAUUUAUUAUUUUUUAGUAGAUUUACAUGUUAUAAUUAAUUUUUAGGGUAUAUGUUAGUUGAUUAAUGUUGUUAAAAUAUUUGCAUGAUGUUUAUGUUAUAUGAUUAAUUUUUUUAUUUUAGUAAGAGUAUAUGAUUUAUAAUUUUAGGAUUAUUUUUAUGAAUUUUAGAGUCUAUGUAUAAUGUGCACAUCAAGUGUUCGAUGAAAUGUUUGAAUGAGUUUUUGAUUGAUUGUUUUUAGUUUCUUAUUGUGUAGAUUUAAAACAAUGGCCAGGUGGAUCGACGUUCAUGCGCAAUUCAACGGCGGAGAACCUCAGAGGUUGAAGGUUCGGUGCCUUGGUGUAACGUUAAGAGGUCUCAAGGAUAAACUGACUGAAUUCAACCAAGGAGUCAACCCCAAAGAUACAAGGAUGGUGGAACACGUUUGGUAUAAACGUCCAACGCUCGACGAGGGGAGAGUAUCAUUCACUUGGGUGGAAUUAACGAAUGACGAAAACGUGACGACCAUGUUUUGGGAGCACAGCAUGUUCCAGUGGAUCGAUAUGCGGGUGAAGUUGGUUAGAUCAACUGAAGAUAUCAUCAAAAGUUUGAUUCCGCCGGAAGAUCGUCAUUAGUUAGGGUAAGGUGCAUUCCAACUACAACAAUUGUCUUCCUUUGAAUGAGAUCAAUUCAAACCUGCCAAACAACAGGACUCGAGCAUUUCGCUCGGCAUUCAUUUUUUUCCUUUGAAAAGAUUAAAUUCUUGUUAGGCUGAUUUAGAUGAAGGUAUUAAGUGUCAAGGAAUGAACCUCAUUUCGUUGGCACUUGAAUACCAUCAUCUAAAGCACGCCUAACAAAAAUUUAUUCUUUUCAAAGGAAAACAUGAAUGCCGGGUGAAAUGCUUGAGUCCUGUUGUUUUGCAGGUUUGAAUUUAUCCCAUUCAAAGGUAACAUAAUUGUUGGAGUUGGAAUGCACAUUCCAACUGCAACAAUUGUCUUACCCUGGAUGGGGCAAUUCAAACUUGCUAAUCGGCAGGACUCCAGUAUUCGAUGAGCAUCUUGAACAAUGGUAUUCAAGUGUCAAGGAAUGCACCUCAUUCUGUUGACACUUGAAUACCAGCGUUCAAGAUGCUAAUCGAAUACUGGUGUCAUGCUGCUUGGCAAGUUUGAAUUUGCCCCAUUCAGUGGUAAGAUGAUUGUUGCAGUUGGAAGGUAAAUUUCGGAAUGUAAUGUAAUAUGUAAUACAAUGUAAUGUGAUAACAUAUAUUUUGUUUUGAAUGGAACAAUAAUUAUCUUAUUUUGUUUUCAAAUUUAUUUAUUCCAAAUGCAAUUUUAUUAUAAGCACCAUAAUGUCAAACAAAAUGUGCGCGACACAAAAAUUAAACAUAAAAAAAUCCAAAACAAUUAGGCAUUAAAAGUCAUUACAUUUAUUCUUCCUCGUCACACAAAUCAAUUGGCUUGUCCGCUACAGUCCCUGCAGUACCUUGUUUUGGUCGAGGACCGAAAUAACAUGUCCUCUCGCUCCUCCUCAACCUCGAGUGAUUGUACACUGGCACCUUCGAACCCUUCUUUUUUUCAGAACCAUUGCAAACAAUUCCAUGCCACGUCAUAGGUGAUUUUUCUUUUUUCUUCUCAUCAUCGUGAACGUUACCCUGAUUCUGAUUCUGAGAUAUAUCUACAUUAAAAAAAAAAAUGGCGAUCAAUUCAACCUAUACUAACCUAAACUAUCCUAACAAUUCUAACCAUUCUAACCUAAACUAUCCUAACAUAUCAUAAAAUCAACAAAUCAAUAUAAUCGAAAUUUAACAAAAAAUAACAUACAAUUCGACCACAAAGCAACAAUACAAUAGAAUUCAAAAAACUUACUUGUUUUUGUUAUUAAAAUUGGCUUGUAAUGGCUUCAAAUGACUCAAAAUCGCACCUUGGAUAAUUAAAACGCAAACUUGGAGUUUUGGAAACUCCUAUGCAGUUCUGUUCUUAUAACAUUUUCCUCGGUAGUUAAAUGUCGAGGUUUUCCUCGGCAGUUAACUGCCGCCGACUUCCUAAAAACUUCGGCAGUUAACUGCCGAGGAGCAUUUGCGUAAUUUACUUGUGUGGCAUAGCCAAACUAAAUGUGAGAAAAGCAAUUCUCGAUAAACAAUGCCUAUGUUGUCAAAAAUAUCGGAUUAAAGCAAUGAGAGAAUACCAAAUCAGCUCAACCAUGCAAAAUCAACUCAUUUUGGACUUGAAAUACACAACAUGACAUUACAAUUCAAGAAUAAAAAAAAAGAAGUCUUUGCUUUGGUAGAGUAACAACAACAAACUAUUAAAACUUCAAACAAAGAAAAUAAAUAUUGUAAAAGAAAUAAAUGAGGAUAAUCAGAUAGUUUUUUUUUUUUUGGUUACGGAUAAUCAUAUAGUUAACUCAUCCAUAAAACAAAAUACUAGUAUUCAUACAAUUUAAAAAUUAGUUAAUUUCUAUAGUUCAAGAAAUAGAAUCUUAAAAAAUGACAAUGUUUUAUUAAAAGACAGAGACACAUGGUCAUAUGACCUGCCCCAUGAAGAAAAACAUGGACCUAUGCCUUACUUUGACAAUGUUUUAUUCUGUCGGCCACGUGAACGUUUGCUCACAAUUAUUGACCACCUACUUUUCUGACUUUCUACUUUCAUUGCAUUUAUUUUCAAAGGUCUCCAGCUUGGUUCAGCACUCAUUCUAUCUAAACUAAUUUCUCAUCUUCUUAUCUUUUCAACUCUUUAAUUUGUUUUCACAAAAACAAUGGCUGACGCUUUGCUUGGAUUUGUUUUUGAAAACUUGACGUCUCUCCUUCAAAAUGAAUUUUCUACCAUUUCUGGAAUCAAAUCAAAGGUUCAAAAGCUAUCAGACAACUUAGUUCACAUCAAGGCUGUUCUUGAAGAUGCUGAGAAGAAACAAUUCAAAGAACUCUCUAUUAAGCUAUGGUUACAAGACCUCAAAGAUGCUGUUUAUGUGCUCGAUGAUAUCCUUGAUGAGUACUCGAUCGAGUCUUUUCGACUGAGAGGAUUUACCUCUUUCAAACUAAAGAACAUCAUGUUUCGCCAUGAGAUUGGUAACAGGUUCAAAGAGAUUACAAGGAGGUUAGAUGAUAUUGCUGAAAGUAAGAACAAGUUUUCUCUACAGAUGGGUGGAACUCUUAGGGAAAUCCCAGAUCAAGUAGCUGAAGGGCGCCAAACCAGCUCCACCCCUCUUGAAUCAAAAGCGCUGGGAAGAGACAAUGAUAAAGAAAAGAUUGUCGAGUUUCUUCUCACCCAUGCGAAGGACUCUGACUUCAUUUCUGUCUAUCCCAUUGUUGGUUUAGGUGGUAUUGGAAAAACAACUCUUGUUCAAUUGAUCUACAAUGAUGUUAGGGUGAGUCGCAAUUUUGAUAAAAAAUUUUGGGUUUGUGUUUCUGAGACUUUCUCGGUCAAGAGGAUUUUGUGUUGUAUUAUAGAAUCUAUUACAUUAGAGAAGUGUCCUGACUUUGAGUUAGAUGUCUUGGAAAGAAAGCUGCAAGGAUUGUUGCAAGGGAAAAUAUAUUUGCUGAUUUUGGAUGAUGUGUGGAAUCAAAAUGAACAAUUGGAAUCUGGGUUAACACAAGAUAGAUGGGAUCGUUUAAAAUCUGUUUUGUCGUGUGGAUCAAAAGGUAGUUCCAUUUUAUUGUCCACCCGUGAUGAGGUUGUUGCAACUAUCAUGGGAACAUGGGAAACUCACCGUUUGUCUGGUCUCUCUGAUAGUGACUGUUGGUUGUUGUUCAAACAACAUGCAUUUAGACGUUACAAAGAGCAUACAAAGUUUGUGGAAAUAGGAAAGGAGAUAGCAAAGAAAUGUAAUGGAUUGCCACUUGCAGCAAAAGCAUUGGGGGGUUUGAUGAGCUCAAGGAAUGAAGAAAAUGAAUGGCUUGAUAUUAAAGACAGUGAGCUUUGGGCUUUACCACAAGAAAAUUCUAUUUUGCCUGCUUUGAGGCUGAGUUACUUUUAUUUAUCACCAACCCUAAAGCAAUGUUUCUCUUUUUGUGCUAUAUUUCCCAAGGAUAGAGAAAUCCUAAAAGAAGAAUUGAUUCGACUUUGGAUGGCUAAUGGAUUUAUUUCAUCUAUGGGUAAUUUGGACGUUGAAGAUGUUGGAAACAUGGUUUGGAAGGAAUUGUACCAAAAAUCAUUCUUCCAAGAUUGCAAGAUGGAUGAAUAUUCUGGAAACAUUUCUUUUAAAAUGCAUGAUCUUGUCCAUGAUCUCGCUCAAUCAGUAACGGGGAAAGAAUGUGUGUAUUUGGAGAAUGCAAACAUGACUAAUUUGACAAAAAACACACACCACAUAAGUUUUCACUCUGAAAAAUUGUUAUCAUUCGAUGAGGGUGCCUUCAAAAAAGUUGAAUCCUUACGAACAUUGUUUGACUUGGAGAAUUAUAUUGCAAAAAAACAUGAUCACUUCCCAUUAAACAGCUCUCUUCGAGUUUUAAGCACAUCCUUUCUACAGGUCCCAGUAUGGAGUUUAAUUCAUUUAAGGUAUUUGGAAAUUCAUUCUCUUGGCAUAAAAAAGUUGCCUGACUCAAUUUACAACUUACAAAAACUGGAAAUCUUGAAAAUAAAACACUGUAAUAAACUUAGUUGCCUUCCGAAACGCUUGGCUUGUUUACAAAAUCUUAGACAUAUAGUCAUUGAAGAAUGUCGAUCUUUGUCUCGAAUGUUUCCUAACAUUGGAAAAUUAACUUGUCUAAGAACAUUAAGUGUGUACAUUGUUAGUUUAGAGAAAGGGAAUAGCUUGACAGAGUUACGUGAUCUAAACCUCGGUGGAAAACUGAGUAUCAAAGGAUUAAACAAUGUUGGCAGUUUAUUUGAAGCUGAAGCGGCUAAUUUGAUGGGUAAAAAAGACCUUCAUGAAUUAUACUUGUCAUGGAAAGACAAACAAGGAAUUCCAAAGACCCCUGUUGUUAGUGCUGAGCAAGUACUCGAAGAGCUUCAACCUCACUCAAAUCUCAAAUGCUUGACAAUAAAUUACUAUGAAGGAUUAUCAUUACCAAGUUGGAUAAUUAUUCUUAGUAAUUUAGUUUCUCUUGUACUUCUCCAUUGCAAGAAAAUUGUGCGGCUUCCGUUACUUGGUAAACUACCAUCUCUAAAAAAACUGAGAUUAUAUGGUAUCAAUAAUCUGAAAUACUUGGAUGAUGAUGAAUCUGAGGAUGGUAUGGAGGUGAGGGUUUUCCCCUCUCUGGAGAUACUCGAAUUAUCUUGUCUACGAAACAUAGUGGGGUUAUUGAAAGUGGAAAGAGGGGAGAUGUUUCCUUCUCUUUCUAAAUUGGUAAUCGAUUGUUGCCCUAAACUUGGACUGCCAUGUCUUCCAUCUCUUAAAGACCUCUAUGUUUACCCUUAUUUGCCUCAUAUUCCAAAAAUAGAGUUAUAAGAAGCAGAGACGUUUACCCUUAUCUGCCUCAUUAGCCAUCACAAAAAUCAAUUUUACUGGUAGGAUCUCUAUUUACCCUUCUUAUGUUUGCAUUUCAACUGCUCAAAAAUCUUUAUUUUUAUUCUCGUUGUUGACUUCUUUGGAACGCAUCCCGCAGAAAGAGUACAUGAAAGAUAUUUUACUACUCAACCAACCUAAGGACAAUUGUUCUAAUUCAGGUAAUUUUCUUCAUCAUAAUUUUAUUUUUUUAAUUUUAUUUUUUGAACUUUUUUUAAAUUUUGCUGAUUUUGUGGAGAUUGAACUGAAUGGUUAGGAUUUCCUUUGACACACAAGGGUGGGGUCGACAAAUAAAGGGAUUAAUAGGUUCCUAAUGAUGAAGAUGACAUCGUUCGGAGUGGAGGAUGUGACAAUGAGUCCGGUGGUGGUAGAGGUUUUCGCUUUUGAUCAUUGGGGCGUGGGUCGGAGCUCUGUGCACAAUAGAAAGUCUGAUCAUCAAGGUUUUUAUUGGUCUUUACUCUUUUGUAUUUAUUUGCUUUAGAUUGUUUAUUUGAAUGAUAUAUUGUUUGAUAAUAAUUUGAAGAAAUGAAAGUUUUUGAAUGUAAUUAUAUGGGUUGGUGUCAUAUCAGUAUCUAAACAUCAGACAUGUCAUCAAUAUGAAGUGUUGGUGCUACAUUAAUUUGAAUAAUUUACAAACAGUGAAAUGGAAAUUUGAAUAUUGGUGAAUGAUUAUUGGGUGCAGAACAGUGAUCAUGGCAAAGGAUGCAAUUACUUUGUUGGGUCAUUUAGGUUGGAAAAAGGCUCAUGUUUUUGGGCAAUUAGCGGGUUAUUAUUUUGUGUGUGUGUUUCUCUGUCUUUGAUUUGAUUAGGUUGAGUUUAUUUGUGUGUUUAUUUUUAAAUAGUUUGCCUAUUGAAACAGGAUCUAUGAUAGCUUGUAAAAUAGCAGCAAUGGUUCCUGAUAGAGUUCUCUCCCUGACAGGAGAUUUUCAAUGUUUUCCAGAGGUAUAUCUCCCUUUUAUAAUUCUUUGAACAUUUUGAUUUAUUUUUACGGCACUGUGAUUAGAGCAUUGACGACGCAAUAUUUGUAAGACGUUAACUACAUCAAUGAUUGCUAGCCACACUUUUUAAUUACAAACUUAGCUCAUGACGAGUGGACCUGCAUACGUAAUAAGUAUAAUUUGUUGGUACAGAUUUUAGGUGAUCCUUUAGGACAAUUUUAGUUGAGAAUUUAUCUUUCUAUGGUUUUGAGUCAGAAUUUUGUUGAGAAUUUCAUAGUACUAAAAUUGUCUUGGUAUGUUAUUUGCUAAUUUUUAAAGAAUAUUGACGGCUGUUGAUUCAGACACUAAACUCUGUUGAUUCAUGCAUAUUUGAUUUCUAAGUAUUUCUCAAGACAGUUAUCUGGAAGAAGAUGUAUGCUAGUUUUAUCUCUUCCCUGCAUCUUCUUAUCCCCAAACUACUUUCUAAUUUAAAUUUCUAUAUGCAGGAAUCACUUACUUUCUCUGUUUUUGUAUGGAAUAUGUCUACGAGUAAAAUUAUUGUGAGAAUUGGGCCAUAUCUUUAGAAUUGACGCUGAGCUUGUUAAUGCAACAAAUCAAAAUUCUUGGUUCAAGCUAUUAGCCAGGUGUGUAUACAGCUCUUCAUUAGGAAGGUGUGUAUUUAGCUAUUUCAUGAUUCUAGUCGAGUCACUCAUGUUAUUUCAUUAUGUUUGUGUCAGAUAUGUUGUGGAAUGCUGCUGACUUGCAGCCAUGUUUGUGUCGGACAAUUUUAUUUAUCAAGUUGUGUUGUGUCCACUGCUUUUCCUGAAAGCAAGAGGAUGCUUCAGCUGAACCACAGAAUCUAUAAGAGGUGAUGAUUUUGGAUGAUAUGAAUGAGAAAUCAACCGUUUAAUUUGAUAACAAAGUGAAUUUUACAUCUUUUAACUCUUUAUAUUUUAGUAUAUUAGCAUUAGUCAUAUCACUUACAGAGAGCAUCUCCUGUGAAACUGAACAGGUGACACUUAUUUCGCUUUGAACUAUGGAUAUUGUUGAAUGUGAGGAAUUGAGAUCCCUGCCAUAAGGUAUUUGACACCUCACUUCACUUGAGUUUUUGAAUAUUCGUGGUUACCCAUAAGGAAUUGAAGACAUUUUUUAAGAGACUUGAUUUAUGUGAACCUUGUGAUUUUGUCUGAGACGAAAUCGAUUAAAAUUGUCAACCUUAUGGGUCAGAUUAUCGUUAUCGCGUUUCCACUUCCAUUGAUGCUGGUAUUGAUAAGAUAUAGAUCUUCAUUCCUAUAGUAUUAAUUUUAACAUAUACUACUAGAUUUCAAUUUGAUUUCAUGUAUUCAUGAAAAUAUGCAGGUGAUGGUCCUUCAUUUAUGAAAUAGCCCUUUCAUGUAUAAUAUAUUUAUGAAAGAGUCGGAGUUUCAUGUUCGAUCACGGGAAACACCAAUAUUAGGAAUGAAGUUUGCUGCUGAAGAUUUCAAUUUCCUUUAACUGAUAGCUCUUUGCUGGUUAUGGUUAAUUUCAAGGUAAGGCAUAGUUCAUAUCUUAGUGAAUACUUUAACAUGAAUUUUCUGCCUCGUCAAACUAAUUUAUUUUAACAUACAUGUCGAAACUUUAGUUGGCUUUCUUUUUAUUGCAUGCUUCAACAAAGUAAUACUCUUUCCACCUCCUUGUGGUUAGAGUUGGUUUUCAGGACUUUAUAAUGCUAAUUACCUUCACAUAUCAUUUUUUAACCAAACAUAUUUAAAAUUCCAUCCUUAUAGCAAAGAAAAAAAUAGUAUAUUGUAUAUGUAUGGUAAGAUUUUAUAAAGGAAUUGAGUGUAUUUUGGUCAUACAUACAGGCAAGGGACUGAAUGUAUUUUGGCCUGAAAAAUCAAUCUCCAAAGAAGGCAGUGAACAAUGGUGAUCCAACACAAUAGCCGAACUUAAUUCCAACUAAUAACAGAUGUUGAAAGAGUUAUAUAUAGCUUCGCCUAAGCCUCAGGAGGCUGUCCUUGAUUUUACGAUAUCUACUAGUAGUAAUGUUGCUGAAAUAAGGGAUUCUUUGUAUUAAUCUCUUUCCCAUUCCUCUAGUGUAGUUUUUUGUUGGUGAGCUUAUAAUCAGACAUUUUGUGCCUUGGUUGUACCAAACAAUGUACAUACAUUUUUUAUUUAAAAGGGACAAAUACUUUUUUGAAUUCAUACUUAAUCAAGUAACUACGAGAUAUUUUUGUCAUUUAUAAAAUUCACUUGUCAACAGAAAUGUAACCAGACAAAGAAUUCAAUAAACAUGGCACAAGUUAUCAUCAGCACACAUGAAUGAUCCUUAAGAAGGGACUUCAGCUUGAGGAUAUGUAAUAUAAUAAUAUUGAUUUCCUUCACAAAUUAGCUUCCACUGAAUAUAUUUAAGAACUCAUCCUUGUUUUAUUUCAAAUUCUUGUUUCUUAUCUGUUCAGUAAGUGAACUUGUUAUAAAUAUCCGUGUCUGGGGAGUUUGUUUAUAAUAUUUCAUGAUAAGAACUAGGAUUCGACAUAAAACAAAGUCAAUAGAAUUCUCGAUCUCUCAAACUCUGAAAUGCUUAUUAUUUUAAUGAUUCUAGCUAGAGCAAAGUGAUUGUGCCUGAGUCAAACACAUCUGAUGUGAAGGGUGGUUGUGCAUGAGUCGAACGCAUCUGAUGUGAAAAUGGGAAAUAUUAGUGAAUAUACACUAUCGGCGUAAAAUUGGUUUGCAUUAACGUUCAGAUAGAGCUCACUGUUUUCAUGUUUUGCCAAGCUAUGUUUUCAUCUCUACAAUGCAAUUGUAUAAUUCUUCUUUUCCGCCAUGCCCCCCUCGGCCUCAUCAUCGAACUUAGUUGAUUCUCCAAAUUAUUAAAAUCAAACCACCAUAGAAUACCAAUAUAUUAAGCAAGGUUCCCUAAUUAUCCUGGUUUAUGCACAAUUUAUCUGGCGCCGAUAUUUGUUGGUGCACUCUCCCUCUCUUUUUCUUCUUUGUUAAACUGUGUGAUUACUUGUAAUAUUAGAUAGCUUGCGCAGCAGGUUACUCUGCCAUUCCAUAGAUCUUUACUGUGUACUAGCAUCAUAUGAUUCUAAUCCUAGAUAAUAGUUUGUUAGAGUUAGUUAGGAUCAUAUACAGCUUUAUAUUAGCUUUGUUGUAACCAAUUUCAGAUCAAUUCAUAGAAUAAAACCUAAAUAGGAUUAGAAGAAAACCUUUGUAUAAUCUAAAGACAAUAUACACAAAUAAUAAUAUUGGAGUUGUGAACCUAAAGGAUACAAAUAGAAAAGGAAAAAAAAAGAGCUGAAAUGGUUGAUAACAACACUUAGAAUAAUUCUGGCAAUGUUAAUGACAUGUCUUAGGCUAGUGGAACAACUAACUUGGAACAUAGUAUCGAUGCUAACACUAUUCAUGAUCACUAACUUAGUCAAUUAAAACAUCAACCAGAUUCUCACCAUGCUCCCUAGCAAUGUUGAAAUCUUUAAUGCCGUCCAUUCUCUUAACAAGGGCUCUGAUGGAUUUGGAGCAUUUUCCUUUCAAACUUAUUGGAAAUUAUUAAACUGGAGGUUAUAAAUGUUGUUAUGCAAUUCCUCUCAAAUGGACGGCUUCUUCCUAAUUUUAAUCCAAAAACUAUUGUUUUGACCCCAAAGGUCCCUAAUGCUGAUAAUGUGAAUCAAUUUAGGUCUAGAGCAUUAGCCAACUUCAAGUUCAAAUUCAUUACAAAAAUCAAUGCUAGAAGAUUAACUUAGAUCAUGCCAUUAUAAAAAAUAUGUUUGAAUUACAAAGCUAUAUAUAGAUUUGUCAAUGUUUGAAAGGUCUUGGCCUAGUCUCCCUUUCUGUUUGUUUUCUUUCCUUUCUUUGAAUAUAACGUAACUAUGUGAUACACUUAGAGCAUCACCAUUUAUAAAAACAAAAAAAAUAUAUUGGCAUUUGCCAAAUAUUUUGAUACUUUAGACUGGCACUUUCUAAUAAGGAUUCUCAAAGCUUUUGAUUUAAACUGUACUUUUUGCAAUUGGAUAAAUUGUAGUCUCAAAUCAACAAUGCUUUCUAUGUUGUGAAUGGCAAACAAGAAGUCUACUUUUCUUUUAAGAUACGGGAUAGACAGAGAGACCCCAUCUCCCAUUUACUUUCAUGUCGUAAUAAAGAAGUCAUCAGUGUAACAUCUAAGACUGUUUUUAGGAUUGGCGAUUGACCCCACAAAUUAAUACGAGUCUUUUUAGUAUGUUUUGUUCUCUCUCGCACGCUUUUCAAGAAACUUUUUAGAAUGUCACCCGUCCCAAAAUUGCUCCAAGUUGAGCACGCUUAAUUGUGGAGUUCUUAUGGUUUGACCUACCGAAAAGAAGAUGCAUCUUGUUUUUAUAGGUAGUACCAAACAAUUCAUAUAAGCCUUCCUUCAACAAUGAUGUCCCAUACUUGCACAACCUCAGGAUCCCUCUCAUUCUGAUGUGAUUCGGUUUUGCCAAUAAGCGUGUCAGGAGUCGGACCACUACAUGCCCUUGUCAGUCUCGGACGUUACAUGCCCACCAAGUGGAGGCGUUACAUUCUCAACUGCUUCCGCUUGGUUCAUCCCCGAACCACAUCAAACUGGAGAGGUCUACUUUGAUACCACGUGUAACAUCCCAGACUGCUUUCAAGAUUGUCGAUUGACUCCACAAACCAACAGGAGUCUUUUCAGCGUGUUUUGUCCUCGCUCGCACGCUUUUCGGAAAGCUUUCAAGAAAGUCAUCCAUCCCAAAAUUGUUCCAAGUCAAGCACGAUUAACUGUAGAGUUCUUAUUGUUUAGGCUAAAACAAUUUAUAUCUUGUAUUUAUAGGUAGUAUAAAACAAUUUAUAGAAAAACGACACACAUAAAAAAUAUUAAUUUACUUCUUAUUGUAGUGCAUUAGUAUUAUUUUAUAGUGAUAUUCUAGUUUUUCUUAUCUUCUAAAAUCCAACAAGACGUGGAGGCUAUUAAAACUAAUUUUUUUAUUUUUUAAGCCAAAUAGGGAAUAUACUCCCUCCGUUUCAUAAUACUUGUCCAUUUUAGAGAAUAAUUUUGUUUCACAAUACUUGUCACUUUCAAGUUUCAAUGCAACAUUAGUUAUUGUCUUGUCAAUAAUACCCUUGCAUAUUUAUUGUAGAGAGAGAAAAAAAUAAAAUGAAAUAAUAGAUGAUUAAGGGUAUUAUAAAAAACACACACAUAUUUUCAUCAAAAAUAACAAAAUUUAUUUGGUUUCUUGGUUAGUGCAAUUUCUCCAAAAUGGACAUGUAUUUUGAAACGGAGGGAGUAAUAAAUAAAAAGGAAGACAUACAAAGACUGGGGCAUAGGACCUGACCCAGGGACAACCCAAACGGGGAUACAACAUGAUAAAUUAGUCUAGGAGGAUCAACUCUAAAUUAUCCUAACAUAAAUUCACUAAAUACGAGCGCUACCCAACGAAUCCGCGUACAGGUGCAAAACUAGGUUAAAAAAAGAAUGAAAAGUGAAAAUCCGCACAGGACAUCUAGAGAAUGAAAAAUAGGCUAUUAAAACUAAUUAAAAUGUAAGAGUAAUAUAAAAUUUGAAGUGUUUCUCAUAUCUUCUAAAACCCAACAAGACAUCUAAAUUAUUAUUUAUUAUGACAUCAAAAUAAAAAUAAAGACUAUGAAGUAAGGUAAAAUUUAUUUAUCAACCUAACUCUUAAAGUUAUUCUUAUAAGGCUGAUAUGCCUAAAUUGUAUAACAUGAUGAUACCUUCAAAAUUAAUGGAGAAGAGGACAAUCAAAAUAAUAAUCUUUAUUGACUUAAAGUAAGUUUUUUUUUUUUUUUUUUUUUUUUUUACAAUAAAGUAAGCUUAUUACAGUAGAACACUAUAACUACAAGUUUCAUCAAAUUAAAAAAAUAAAGGAAAAUGUUAACUUGUGUCUUUAAGGCACAAACUAAUGAAACAAAUAUAGAAAUAGUUUAUUGAAAUGUGUGCAUUACAUUUAAUUUUUAAUUUUUUAAUGAGUUGAAUGCACAAAAUUUUAUACUCCCUCCGUCCCUUAAUAAGUGACACAGUUGACCCAAUUACGCAUACCAAUGCGUAAAUUUGAGUUUAAAUAUCUUGAAUAAUAUAUUGGAAAAAAUUAUGAAAAUUUGAUAUUUUGAAAAUACUCAUCGAGACGAAUCUAACGACAUCUUAUAUGAUAUUAUUUAUCUUUGUAUAUUAAUAGAAAAAUAUGGUCAAAAUAAGUUAGGUCAAAAUUGCACAUUUUCAAAUAUGUCAUUUAUUGCGGGAUGGAGGGAGUAAAAUAUUUCUUUUUUAAAGUUUUAAUGGUCCGAAACUAAUAGAAUCGUAAGUGCGCUGCUACCAAUUCACAUUUGUGAUUAAUGCAUUUAUAAAUAUAAAACAAGUUCCCACUUUUUGGACAAUCAGCAUCAAUUUGACAUUCAUCACUUGCUGUAAUAAGAAGAAAAAAAGUCAAGAAAAUAAUGUUACUACAUGAUUGUGUACGAGCCACAAAGUAAAAAAAGAAAUUUGAAAAGAAUAAAAGGAAUGGCUUACCAACACCAAAUUUCGUUGCGAUGAGAAAUAAGGAAAUAAAUAGAAUCCUGACACAAACAAACUUAAGAAUUUGAACCAUAUUUUAUCUUGUUUGAGUGUAAAAAAUAGAAAAUGAUUUGGUCUAUUUAUAAUUUUCCUGCUCUCUAAAAUAAUGAAAUAUUUUUAGCACUUACAAAGUUGAAACCGUCGUUCAUAAUAUUAUGAUCAUUAUUAAAUAUUUAUUAAGUAUAUCAAUGUGUUGUGUUUGUUCUUUUAGCACACUUAAGGUGAGUCAAAUAACAAAAUUACUAAUCAUUAAAAUUCAUUCUUUAUAUUUAACUUUUAUUUACUUUUUUUAAAGUUAAAAGUUUUUUUUUUUUAAGAAGCUAAAAUGAAUUAUAUUACCACCUCAAAAGAGUCUUUCCUAGCACAAGACGUACUAAGGAAAAAACAACAAUGUCCUAUUACAAUCUCCAGUACAAAGCUAAAGAUAAAAGAGAAGAAACAUUAGCCUAUGCCCAUAAUAGUAAACGGGCUAAUCCACCACCCGUGGUAAUUGAGGGGAAGAGAGGAAUACUUCGCCUUCAACCACGUAAAGGCAAGCGACUUAAUAUUGUCUACCACCUGAUUAACCGAGCAUUCUUUGACAUUAAACAGCAUAUUGUUUCUUUCCUUCCAAAUUUCCCAAACAACUGCAUACCAAAUAACCUGAAGAAUAGAGCGAUGUGCCUUUGUGAAACCACCACCCAAACUAAACUGGUUAAAAUGAUCGGACACCUGAAAAGGGGAAGCCACGGACAAGCCUAACCACCUAUGAAUAAAGUGCCAUACAGAACCAAAAAAAUUACAAUGUAAGAACAAAUGAUUUGAAGUUUCCAGAGAGCCACAACCAGCGACACAAAGCCUGGAAGUUUGGUUAAUAACACCACGACGGAACAAAUUAUCUUUUGUGGGCAAUCUAUCUCGAAACAACCGCCACGCAAAGAGCACCACCUUCAACGGAAUGUCUCUAUGCCACAAAAAACAAGCAUCCACUGAAAGCACUAAAGGAGGUUGAAGAGUAAGAUAGUUAUAGGCACUUCGGACAGUGAAGACACCUGAAGAUUCUAACGUCCAAAGCCAUUUAUCAACCUUCGCAACCUGUAAAUUCACAUUCUGAAGCAAUAAUAUUAGAUCCCCGAAUAACCCUUCCUCCCAUACAAACAACCUCCGCCUCCAUGUCCACGCCUCACCGCCUACCCCCCAACCUAAAUGACACAUAUCAAACACCGAGUUCCCCUUAAACACCGAUAAUUCAUAUAGUCUAUUAAACCUGACCCUAAACUCCUCUCCACCACACCAAACGUCCGACCAAAAAAGAGUAUUCUCCCCAUUACCUACCGCCCUCCU
RNAcentral lists this long non-coding RNA (32641 nucleotides) under Medicago truncatula (barrel medic). RNAcentral's name for it is "long non-coding RNA (MTRU_LNC003463)". The stretch from base 20439 to 20511 matches the Rfam family "MIR2629 microRNA precursor family". The record is from RNAcentral. Lineage: Eukaryota; Viridiplantae; Streptophyta; Magnoliopsida; Fabales; Fabaceae.